Rattus norvegicus (Norway rat) is the source of this 607-nucleotide long non-coding RNA. RefSeq lists it as uncharacterized. The record is from RefSeq and is a predicted model, not a curated record. NCBI's taxonomy places the organism in Eukaryota, Metazoa, Chordata, Mammalia, Rodentia, Muridae.
AGGUAAAGACUCCUAGAUCACACUGAUCACCUUCAGUAACACAGUCUUCCCCUGUGGGUGGCAGUUCCUCCCGUCUGAACUACCAGAUAAAUACUUCCUGCCAGACCUUCUUCUGUGCCUCCUGAAUCCACACUGAGGCCAGAGGUAGCCUGCCAGAGCCCUGGGCACUGACUUCCCUGUGCUCUGGCCUGGCGCUCCUUACAGGGAACAUCUCCAGCCAGGCCUGGCACACAUGCAGGGCAUCUGGACCAGACACUCACAGUGGGACACUCUUACGAUCUCCGGGGAUUAAAAGACAUAUGCAGCUAACCUUCCCGAGUCUGUUCCUGAGCCUGCCUCUGCAGCUCAUAGUCACAAAGGAAAUGCGCUAGCUGGCUGGUGGGAGACUCGGCAGUUGGCCUUGAACUCCCUUGACCUCCCAUGCCCAGACAAAGACUUUCCACUCCGUGCUACUGCUGAAGUCCAAGAUCAAUGAAGCAGCGGGGGAAGAACCAAUGCCCCUCCCAGGCAUUCUGCAGCCACCGUCUGGAUUGAUCUCCACACAGGUUGGAGGAGGUGCAUAACCGAAUUAAAAGCAUAAUAAAUUGAAGCCAACUCGUUCGAUUAA